Molecule: ribosomal RNA, 253 nt
Filed under: uncultured bacterium
Lineage: Bacteria
Description: partial 16S ribosomal RNA
Rfam family: Bacterial small subunit ribosomal RNA
Source: RNAcentral
UACAGAGGGCUCAAGCGUUGUUCGGAUUCAUUGGGCGUAAAGGGUGCGUAGGCGGCGCGGUAAGUCGGGUGUGAAAUCUCGGAGCUUAACUCCGAAACUGCAUUCGAUACUGCCGUGCUUGAGGACUGGAGAGGAGACUGGAAUUUACGGUGUAGCGGUGAAAUGCGUAGAUAUCGUAAGGAAGACCAGUGGCGAAGGCGGGUCUCUGGACAGUUCCUGACGCUGAGGCACGAAGGUCAGGGGAGCAAACAGG